CAGUAGCCGCGGGAAUACGGAGGAUCCAAGCGUUAUCCGGAAUCAUUGGGUUUAAAGGGUCCGUAGGCGGUCUUGUAAGUCAGUGGUGAAAGCCCAUCGCUCAACGGUGGAACGGCCAUUGAUACUGCAGGACUUGAAUUAUUGGGAAGUAACUAGAAUAUGUAGUGUAGCGGUGAAAUGCUUAGAGAUUACAUGGAAUACCAAUUGCGAAGGCAGGUUACUACCAAUUGAUUGACGCUGAUGGACAAAAGCGUGGGUAGCGAACAGGAUUAGAUACCCCUGUAGUCCCUGUCUCUUAUAC
RNAcentral lists this ribosomal RNA (301 nucleotides) under uncultured bacterium. RNAcentral describes it as "partial 16S ribosomal RNA". It matches the Rfam family "Bacterial small subunit ribosomal RNA", at positions 509 to 807 of the family's 1533-position model. The record is from RNAcentral.